RNAcentral lists this ribosomal RNA (842 nucleotides) under uncultured Actinomycetes bacterium. RNAcentral describes it as "bacterial SSU rRNA". It matches the Rfam family "Bacterial small subunit ribosomal RNA", at positions 56 to 913 of the family's 1533-position model. Lineage: Bacteria; Bacillati; Actinomycetota; Actinomycetes. The record is from RNAcentral.
UGCAAGUCGAACGGUAAGGCCCUUCGGGGUACACGAGUGGCGAACGGGUGAGUAACACGUGGGUGAUCUGCCCUGCACUUCGGGAUAAGCCUGGGAAACUGGGUCUAAUACCGGAUAGGACUACAGGCUUCAUGGUUUGUGGUGGAAAGCUUUUGCGGUGUGGGAUGGGCCCGCGGCCUAUCAGCUUGUUGGUGGGGUUAUGGCCUACCAAGGCGACGACGGGUAGCCGGCCUGAGAGGGUGUCCGACCACACUGGGACUGAGAUACGGCCCAGACUCCUACGGGAGGCAGCAGUGGGGAAUAUUGCACAAUGGGCGCAAGCCUGAUGCAGCGACGCCGCGUGGGGGAUGACGGCCUUCGGGUUGUAAACCUCUUUCAGCUAUGACGAAGCGCAAGUGACGGUAGUAGCAGAAGAAGCACCGGCCAACUACGUGCCAGCAGCCGCGGUAAUACGUAGGGUGCGAGCGUUGUCCGGAAUUACUGGGCGUAAAGAGCUCGUAGGUGGUUUGUCGCGUUGUCCGUGAAAUCUUACAGCUUAACUGUGAGCGUGCGGGCGAUACGGGCAGACUGGAGUACUGCAGGGGAGACUGGAAUUCCUGGUGUAGCGGUGGAAUGCGCAGAUAUCAGGAGGAACACCGGUGGCGAAGGCGGGUCUCUGGGCAGUAACUGACGCUGAGGAGCGAAAGCGUGGGGAGCGAACAGGAUUAGAUACCCUGGUAGUCCACGCCGUAAACGGUGGGUACUAGGUGUGGGUUUCCUUCCUUGGGAUCCGUGCCGUAGCUAACGCAUUAAGUACCCCGCCUGGGGAGUACGGCCGCAAGGCUAAAACUCAAAGAAAUUGA